Molecule: long non-coding RNA, 1649 nt
Filed under: Struthio camelus australis
Lineage: Eukaryota; Metazoa; Chordata; Aves; Struthioniformes; Struthionidae
Description: lncRNA (ENSSCUG00000009883.1)
Source: RNAcentral
CACUGUUUUUGUACUCCCCUUCUUUUUCCUUCUGCCAUGCACCGGGAACGGUCAUAGAUCUAAAACCAGCACACUGCGGUUAAUUAUUUUCCUGCAUCUAAGGCUAUGUUAGGUGAAAGGACAUAUAGCUUUUUUUUUUUUUAAAUAUAAGCUAGCGAUGUGGCAGUGGUGGGUCUGUAACGUUUCAUUUGUGACCUGCACAUAUUACACAGGAAGUGGCAUUCAGUGGUCGUGUAGCAGAGUCUGAAGAAAGUAUUCCUUCCUCUUAUGUGGAAAGUUUCUUUGAGGCUAGCGUUGAAUGAGUAAAGUACACCAUUUCUAAUGUACUUCUUGGCUGUCUGGAUUUCCUGUGAGGGUAGGAUGGAGGUGGUCAGAGCGUAUCUUGCAGCUUUGUUAAAGGGCUCUGUACCUAUACAUCACGGUAUUUAUUAACUUUGUCUACCUCACAAGGUAUUCUUACCAGGUGAGGAAAAACUCAACAGCAAGGUUUGCACUGCAGUAAAGUUGUUUCCCACAGGCCCAUACUGAAUUUGAUGAGCUCGACUUGUAGAGUGUGGACAUAACGAACAUCCAAGACUGCUGAAACAGUCUUUGUGCUUUUGUUCUUAGGUUAACAUCUUUGUCUCCCUCAGCAAUAAUUAACCUCCACUUUUUAAAAAACAUUGCUGGGGAAGUGAAUUUAGCUUUGUGCAGUAGCAUUUAGAUGUACAACAACCACAUUAUUGAAGCAGUUUGCAACGUAUUGUAUUGUUUAUAAUUAUUGUGUUGUGCUCACACGGCCUUGAAGAGUUCACAGAACAUAGACUUUGUAGUAUUUCUGUAGAACGCUGGAGUACUUUCUGCUUUAUUCAGAUGCCGUCGUGGUAACUUCAGUUUUUAGCCACAGCAGACAGGGGAAAUCCUCAGAAAAUAAACUCUCUUCCAAAGGAGUGCCUUUUCCCCGUUGUGUAAACAUGGCAUUCAUGAUGGUUUUUAACUCUGUAGGUCCAACUGUUCCUCUUCCCUGUAUGCAUUUAACUGCUUUGAAGCAAGAGAAUUUUAUGGUGCUCCAGAACUGAAAGUAUUUUUGCAUUUGAGGUAUACCGACGUUUGUAUAACAUUUAACAAUACACAAGGAUCACAUCACAUACUUUCGGAGAAAUGGCUUGCUUUACCUGAAGAAGAAAAUAAAGUUCAUAGGAAUUUAGAGAUCAUAAAAAGGUGCCCAGGGAUGUCUCAUAAAAACUAAAUCGGGUGAAAACUUGAAGGGAGAAAAUGAAAUGCAAGUGGAAACUGCCACGAGCUCCAUUCCAGCCAGCCUCUUGCACAGGAUGUUUUUGCAAUGAAUAAGAUACUUUUUCCAGAUUAAGUAGGAAAGACAUACUGAGAUAUCACAUAGAGUAAACCUUGAGUUUGUAUCGGAUUCAUCAUUGCUCCUGACAGUUUGUGAUGGCUUUCACAUGGUGUCCUAGAGGCUGAGCCUUCUAAUGUGGGAUCUGGUCUUCUCUGUUUUCCCUGUAUCCUAGGUAAAUACUCGAUGUGUUCAUGUCCUCUCCUCAAGUUCAAGCCUGCACAAGCAGACACAGACAAAGUCACUGAUAAAUUGUUAUGAAACCUUGGCUGUUGUGCAACCUUUAAUUCUGUUACAUCUCUGUGUUUUAAUCUUUGGA